AGUUACUAAUAUAGUAAUACAUACAUACAUACAUACAUUAUAUAUAUAUAUAUAAUUUAUAUACAGGUAAACCUAUAUAUAUCUGGGUGCAUAUUCAAAAUAUUUACACUGAUGGAAUACAUAACCAGAAAAGUUGGGAGAAUACUGGCCUUGUCAGUCUGAGCAGGUGGAAGAAUGAGGCUUUUCUUUGAAUUUUGAUUGCAUUUUUUCAAUGAGAUAUAAAUAUACACUCUUUCCCCAAUACUUGCUCAUUGAUACAGGAGUAAUGAUGAUUUAUUGGAUCCUGACAAUUAUAGAUCUGAGCCAAAGCAAUAGACUUGACUUUUAAAUAGGAACAGACAGAUCUGGGAAGAAGUAAAGCUGAGAAAAUUAAACCUAAAUAGAACAGAUGAGAAGUUGAAAGUUCAGUGGAGAACUCAGUUGAUCCUUACAACCCUGCUCAAGGAACCCAAUAAUCUUAGAGAUAUCAGACAUGGAAAUUUAGAACCUCUGAUCCACAGAGAGAUUAUGCAAAUUUAGCAUAAACAGAGAAAAGACUGAGAGAAAGAGAGACUAUUUAUAUACCCAGAGUGAACUUUCAUUUUAUGGGCUAACAGUUUUCUUGGGGCCUAGGAAUUUAUAGGCCUUAGUCCUUUAGGUACUAUUUUUGUGUAUAGUUCUACUGUCAAUUCCAGUCUCCCAGGUCUUUUUGCCCUUUCAAUAAACCAAGUCCAGUGGGUAAACCUCAGACUCACAACAGUGUAAAGGGCUGAAACUGAGCAGAUGCACUGAGGUUCGAGCACUUAAGGUUAAUUACCAAUUGGACAAUACUCUAUUAAUAUAUGCUUGGAGAAAGAAUGGCCCUGCCCACUACUUUGUGCAAAUUUUAUCUGUUGUAUAGGAGGAUUUAGGGGGUGGAGUGAGAGAGCCAGAGUCACUGCUGGCAGAUUUGUGUCGUGGUUGCUCUCACUUUGUAUGGCCAUUCUGUUCACGUCCACAAAGAAUAAAGAUCAACGACUUUUGCUGAUUCUAACUCCAGCUGAUUCUAACGUAUCCAGAGUGCUAAAGUGGACAUCACACAACAAUCCUAAUCUAAUUAGCCAUCCUCAAUGGCAAUAGCAUCCAGGAAUGAGUACUCAUUCAUAUUCCAUCAUGGAGACAUAUUUAAAGUUGAUGGGGAGAUAAUGAGGAUGCUCUACCUUGUAUAGGGAGAUAUCUGAAAGCCAGAAUAAAGACUUCAGACAUUAACUUUGUUAGGUUUACUGAGCUACUCCCUCUCAUGUUCUCUACAUUCCAAAUACACAAAAUUAUGAUUACCCUAAGAAAAAUAAUUUUUUGAAUGAAUUUGAUAUUUAUUUAGGAAUCUGAGUUUCUCUCAUUAUCUUUCCUUGUUUAUUUCUUAUAUAUCCUGUUCUCUGUGGAAUACAUAUUUUGAAGAGUGUGAUAUAUUCUCAAGGAGUUAGGACAGAUAUCGUUUCUAAUGUCAUAACUCAUAAGUCCCCACUGAUAUAUUUUUUAUUGUGAUUAUCAGUUGAGAAUCAUUUAGCCAGAUUUAAUUAGUUUUCAGAAAGUGAUAUUUACUGAGGCGAUAUAGUUGUUUCAAAACAUCCUCUUCAAGUCUUAUAAAAUGUCAACCUAUAGGUAGAGAAUCCAGAAGAAAGUGGGUUUUAGCUUGAAGGAUGCUUGUAGCAAAGGGAAAGCUCACAGCUUUUGUUGGCUGGAAGUUGUUUUUUCCCCUUCACAGAGUAUUCAAGAAAUUUUUCUUAGUCAUGGUAUAGUUUUUCUGCUGAGCUCCUUGUAGAGAUGCAUUUUAUUUUUGGCUUUCACUGCAGACAUUGCUAUCACUUGAUCUUCUUGGACAUGGAUGGGAAUAUGGAAAGUUCCAAAUCCUCCAAACCCUUUCAAGCUCUCAAGGUCCUACUCUUGGCAAGAAAAGAGGAAAGAGAACAGGCCAAAAGCAGAAAAGUUUUCCUCCUCACCAAGCAACUCAUUCUCAGAGCUUUUGGCUUGCUAUUCCUUUGUUUUUUGCUUGGAAUACAAAUCUCUACCAGAUCCUGAAAUAACCAGAGUUUUAAUCUAUUUCAUUUUUUAGAUCACAUACAUCAUAGCUUUCCCAAUAGUACAUUAGUAUGUUGUCAUUUUCCUUCUUUUGGUCAUUUUUUCCAAUCAAGUGGAUAUGAAAUAGAACUUUUUAUAGUUAUGUGUUCAUAUUUUUUGAACAGCUCUUGUCCUCAUGUAUUUGGUUUAGUUCCUUACAUCUUAGGUAUCAGACCAUUACUGGUGAAACUUGGUGCGAGGAUUUUUUUCUUAAUUAAUUGAUUCCUUUCUAAUUUUAAUUACAUUGAUUUUGUGCCGAAGGUUUAAAAUCUUAUAUAGUUAAAAAAUAUCCAUUUAUUUUCUAUGAUCUCGUGUACCCUUUGGUCAUGAACCAUGUCCAUACAUAUAAAGAACAUUCAUUUGCUUCUCCAAUUUGUAUAUGAUGUCUGUUCACAUAUAAGUCACAUAACCAUGUAGAGCUUAUUUUUGUGUGCAAUGUGAAAUGUUUCUCUAAACCUAAUUUCUUCCAUACUUCUUCUUUUCCAUUUUUCUAGCACUAUAGGUGGUGUUGUAAAUUAAUACAAACUAUGCAAAAAAGGCUAUGAAACUAUGCAUCAAUAUUACUACUAGGUCUGUAUUCCAAAGCAAUCAUGAAAAAGGGAAAAGGGCCUGCAUGUAUAAAAAUAUUUAUAGAAGCUUUUUUUUUUUUUUUUUUUUUUUUUGUGGUGGCAAAGACUAAGAAAUUGAAGGGAUGUUCAUCAAUUGGGAAAUGGUUGAACAAAUUGUGGUAUAUAAAUGGAAUACUGUUGUUCUAUAAGAAAUGAUGAGCAGAUGGAUUUCAGAAAACAUGAAAAGACUUACAUGAACUGAUGUUGAAUGAAGUGAGCUGAACCUGAAUAUUGUUCACAGUAAAAGCAGCAAUGCAUUAAUUUAGCUUAACUCUUGCCAACUUAUAUCUUUUCUGACAAUGUUUUCCUAAGAGGCAGUAAGAUAUAAUGGUUAGGGACCUAGUCUUGGAGUAAGGAAGCCUGAAUUCAAAUACCAUCUCAGAUACGUUUUUAGGCAAGGCUGCUGUUGAAGGCCUGCCAACACUUUCACCUGUUCCUAUUUAAUGGAAAACUGAUAUACCAGUGUGUAUAGAACAGUGGCCCUUAGCUAGUGAUAAAAUUCAGGUUUUCUUAGAUAUAGUACAGGAGCAACUUGGCCAAGGACACUUAACAACUUUCUCCAAGUCCUUGGAAUUCCCCUGUAUUUGUUUGAAGAAGAAAUCUGGAAAAUGGAGGAUAUUGACCGAUUUAAGAAAAGUAAAUGAAGAAAUGGAACUCUUCAGCCUGGACUUCCAUCUUCUACUCAAUUCCCCAGAGAAUGGCCUCUUUGGGUUAUAGAUAUUAAGGAUUGUUUCUAUUCUAUCUCUCUGGAUAAGAAGGGUACAAAAAGAUUUGCCUUUUCAGUGCCCAGUGUUAACUUAUCUGAGCCUUAUAAAAGAUAUGAAUGGACAGUUUUGCCACAGGGAAUUAAAAACAGCCCUACUAGGUGUCAAAUGUAUGUUGCUGCUGCUCUUACUCCAGUAGGAAAAGCAUUUCCAAAAGCAAUGUUAUUAUAUUACAUGGAUGAUAUAUUGGGAUGUGCACCUGAGGAACAAAUGUUAGAAGCAUGUCUACAAAAGACUAUAGAAACACUAAGAAACUACAAGUUACAUGUAGCUCCAGAAAAAUUCAAAGACAUGCUCCUUUUCAAUAUUUAGGAAUAUGAAGUAUACCAUAAGGUGCUUACAGUACAAAAACUUUCAUUAAGAACAAAGAAGUUAAACACCUUAAAUGACUUUCAAAAAUUGAUAGGAGAUAUCCAAUGGAUGUGUCCAGUGUUAGGCUUGACUACCUAUCAAUUGCAACCAUUAUAUGACAUUUUAAGGGGAGACAGUGCUUUAAACACACCAUGCCAGCUUGCAAAAGAAGUCCAAGAGGCUUUGAGAGAAGUUGAACUGACUUUAUCCAAUGUGGUUGAAAGAAUCAUUCAAAAACCCUUGGAAAUAUCAGUUUUUGCUACACAAGAGGCCCCCACAGCAGUCUUUCAUCAAGGAGACAGUGUGGGUGAACCCCCCAGCAGAACCAGAACAAAGCCUUACUCCUUACCUAGUGCUUGUGGCUAGAAUUUUAUUAAAGGCCAUUAAAUAAGCAGUACAAUUAUCUGGAAUAAGACCUGACAAGAUGUACACCUUUUAUACCAAUGCACAAAUUAAUGUAUGCUGUGAAACCAUCCCAAAUUUUAUUGGCCACAGCUCCAAAUUUAACACACGGGUCUCCAUUAAAGAUAACCAGACUAUUACAUAAUUGGCAAUGGAUUCUUGAAGAAAAGGUUUCUAAAGUUCCUCUUAAAGGACCAACUAUCUUUACAGAUGCAGCCAAACAUAACAUUUGUGCUAUAUACUCUUGUGACUUAACUAUAAAGAGAGUAGUCAGAACUCCUUUUCAGUCCACUCAGCAGAAUAAAUUGUAUGCAAUCAUUCUAGCUCUUACUUAUUAUCCAGGAGAUAUAAAUAUAAUAUCUGAUUUGGCCUAUUCAGUAGAUGUGGUACAAGAAUUGCCACCACCCAAAUAAAAUUUGUAACUUCCAAUAUGUAUCAGCUCUUUAAGGAACUUCAAGAGCAAGUGAGAAAGCAUCCAGGUAAGAUUUAUAUCUUGCAUGUCCACUCUCAUAGUGGACUUCCAGGUCCUAUUUUUGAUGGUAAUUCAAAGGCAGAUAGCCUUCUAACUAUGUUGGCCAAUAAUCCUUUAUUUCAGACAGCCCAAGAAUCUAAUUCUAAAUAUCAUUAGGCUGCUUGAGCCUUUUCGUUUGCAAUUUGGAAUAACAAGAGAGGAAGCUAGGAGCAUAGUAAAAGCCUGUACAGUUUGCCUUUCUUUCUACGCCCCUAUGCUCUGUCCAGGGAAGAACCCUCAUGGUUUGAGACCCAAUGAAAUUUGGCAAAUGGAUGUGACCCAUUAUAAAUCUUUUUGUUGUCUGUCUUUUAUCCAUGUUGUAGUAGACACCUUUUAAGGAUUUACUUUUGCAAGUAAAAGAGAUAGCCCAAGUGUUCAUUGAUCAUUGAAUUCCUUAUACAUGCUUUUGAAAUUAUUGGUGUGCCACAAGCAAUAAAAACAGAUAAUGGACUUGCAUAUACUUCUAAACAUUUUGCACACUUUUGUGUACAGCAUCAGAUUUUACACACCACUGGCAUACUCUUUAAUCCUCAAGGACAGAUAAUAGUAGAGAGGAGAAACAGAGACAUUAAGACAUUCCUCCAAAAACAAAAGAAAGGGGGAGCCACAGGUAACCCUAGAUAACUUCUAAAUCUAGCUCUUUAUACAAUUAACUUCUUGAUUUUUGACAAAGAUGCAUUGGCUCCAGCAGACAGGUUUUAUAAUCCACUGGAAGGGCAGUGUCUAGUGUGAGCAGCUCCACUAUCUUUAGAUAAUUGCCAGGUGAUGUGAAAAGAUCCACAAAGUGUUGAAUGGAAGGGACCAGAUAGGUUAACUGCUUGGGGGAGAGGGUUUGCUUGUAUUUCCACAGGUGGAGAAGGCAUCAGAUGGGUGCCAAUGAGCCAUAUUUGCCUUGUCCAUCAGAGAGAGAUGGAGCAGACCCUUGAAACAAAGGAGAAGACCCAAGAAACAUCGGAUGGUUCUAUCUCUGAUUGUGCCCACCAAUGAAAGAGCAUGGUAGUUAUGGCAAUUGACUCAUGGACAUCAAAAAUUGUUGGAUUUCAAAACCCUCAGGAAUCAUUGGAUUCUCUGAGACAUGCUAAGAUUGUUGUAGGACUUGAAAACCCUUGGAAUCCCUGAGACAUGAUAAGAUUGUUGUAGGACUUGAAAACCCUCAGGAAUCAUUGGAUUUUCUGAGACAUGAUGAAAAUGUUGUAAGACUUCAAAAUCUGCAGGAAUCAUUGGAUUCUCUAACACAUAAAAAGACUGUUGUAGGACUUCAAAAACUUGCAGGGAUCAUUGGAUUCCCUAACAUGUGAAGUAAUGGACAAUAGAUUGGCUUUGGACUAUCUCUUGGUUGUGGAAAGAGGCAUAUGUGUGAUUGUUAUUUCCAUAUCCUUCUUCUAGGACUUCUGGAAAUCUUUUACAACACCAUGUUGAUUCAUUUUGUUUGUUAUAUCCCUACUUGCAUGUACAAUUCAUGUUUGUUACCCCACAAUGAGCCUGCACUGGCUAUGGGGAGAGUCAUCACUAAUAGCCUGUGCGUUAUUGCUAUGUGCUUGUGUAAUAUCUCCCAUGCUGAUGGGUUUGUGCAUACCUGUUCCAGUAAGACCCUUCAGCCCAGAAACUCACUAACAAUAUCUGGCUUGACUCCCCACUACCCUUUGGUGUUUUUUCAUCUCUCUUCCUGAGAAGUCAGAGAAGGUGUGACCACCUGUGUUCUAAAACUAAAGAAAGGGGGAGAUGUAGAGGGCUGAAACUCUGAAUAGGUGUAUUUGAAUCAGACAACUGAGCACUUAAGGCUAAUUACCUAUUUGAUAUGAGACAAUGACUCUAUUAGCAUAUGUUUGGAUAAAUGGUUCUUCUUACAGUUGAUGGUGGCUGAAUGUUUGGUGUUAAGAUAAUUGUAGGCAAGGAUUAGAGGGUGGAGGGAGAGAGACCAGAGUCACUUGGUGGCAAGACAAGGAGGAGAGAAGUUGGUAACUUUGGACUCGAGAAUCCAGGAUACAUCUUUGGGGGCCUCGUGAUACUUUUCCUGCUUCUUUCACUUCUCACCUUAAAGACCAAGUCCUUUUGCUUAUCCUGACUCUGGCUGAUCCUGAUGCCUCCAGCUAUCCCGGACUUCAUAUCCUUUCUUUUCUACUUUUAAAAUUCUAUCAUUAUCAUUUCAUUCCUAAAAAAUUUAAAACUCUUUUAAAAAUGUGUUUCCUCCCUUCCUGGAAUUCUAGUUGAAUAUGUGUCCAGGAUUUUUUUAGACUGGGCUUGAGGAUAUUUUAAAGAUGUUUCUUCUUCUGGAUUUGUGCCUUGAACAUCAUUGAAAACAAUAGUUUUUUUAUGGUCUUUUUGUUUACUCAUUCUUUCACUCUCCUUUCUGACUUCAGAUUUGAUGGUAGGGAUAGGAGGAAGGGAAGAAGGAAGGAAGAUCUGGGUUGGUAUUAUUACUAUUUCAUUAGUGAUUUGAGUGGGACAAGUUUGCAAUGCUCCCAAAGAGGUUAGAUCUAGGGGAAAAGUCUUAUUACUCUUCCUCUGUUCUGAGUCUGCAAGUUCCUAAGUUGGGUUUGGAUCUUAGCUAAUAGCUGACUGCUGUUGGACUUGAUCACUAUCAGUAAACUGGAAAAUUCUGUUGAUUUGGGACAGAACUGCCAGCUCCACUUUGGUCUCAAAUCUCUUCCCUGUUUAUUUCUCUGUAGACUUCAUAUGGGGCUAGACGCUAGAACUUAGACAUUACUUUCGGUGUGAAAGCCACAGAGUUACUCCUGCUUCCUUUUGAACUUACUCCUUUUGCAAUACAUAGCAAUAGUACUUGACAUUGCUUUUUACCCCAAAAAGCUACCCCUGGAUGCAGUUUCCUUUUUUUACCUGCCAUGCAUUUUGAUCUGAAACUGAGCUAGUGGGUGAUCAAGCUGCCAAAUAGCACUGAUUCUCAUCAAGAUGUCCUGAUAUAGAUCUGUGAACUUGUCUUGGUGUACAAUUUUUUUUUCUGGAUACUGUAAUUUUCCUGGCCUGUUCCUUGCCAGAAUCUGUCCCCAGUGUCCAAAGAUCUUUCUGUUUGUCUCCUCAUACCAAAGUAGGCAUGAAAAAUGAGUCACUGUGACUUUUUUUUUUUUGGGGGGGAUUGCUCUAUCAAAUUCAAUCUGGCACAUUUUCUAUAACUGUUUGGAGGAAGACUUUAGUUUUUCUUCUUUCUUUCUUUCUUUCUUUCUUUCUUUCUUUCUUUCUUUCUUUCUUUCUUUCUUUCUUUCUUUCUUUCUUUCUUUUUUCCUUCCUUCCUUCCUUCCUUCCUUCCUUCCUUCCUUCCUUCCUCCCUUCCUAGCUCCCUCCCUCCCUCCUUCUUUCCUUCUUUUCUUCUUCCCUCCUUCUUUUCUCCCUCCCUCCUUCAUUUCUCCCUUUCUCCUUCUUUCCCUCUUUUCUCCCUCUCUCCUUCCUUCCUUCCUUCUUUCCUUCCUUCUCCUUCUUCUUCCUCCCUCUCUCCAAUAAUAAUAGAACCUGAUUUGAAAGGAUAUUAUAUCUCUGAAUAAGAUAACAUACAAUCAUUUUUUAAAGCUUUGCAGAUAUAUUGUCUGGCACAUGGAGAUACUUGUUUGUUUAUUGACUUGCUAAGAGAAAAAUGCCUGAAAUGGGGAUUUGGAGGCUCCAUCUAGAAUGCAUUGAAAAAUGACAAAUUUAGUGGGUGAAAAGACAACUUUUUCCUUUAGUCACGUGACUUACCUAUGGUCUCACACAGACAGUGUCAGAACUGGAAUACGAUCAGAGGGCCCCUAACUAUAGUUUGAAAACUUCUACUAUUUGCCUAUGGUGGGUAGAAACCUCUAUCCUUUUCAGGGUUCUCUCAAUUCAUCAGCACAUCCUUGGAAAGCCAAAAGUUAAUACAUAUAAACCAUAGAAUUUCAUGUUAUAUUUAAAUUCUUUGUAAGAUCUGGAAAGAAAUCCAAACUGAAACGGGCUAUAGUUUUCAAAAUCUUUUUUCUCUUGGGGAAAAUAAACCUUAUGGUUCUUUUGUUGUACUAGUGACAGUCUGUUGAAUCCUAAAUCACUAUCUGUUCAUUUUGCCUGACUCUUAUUCACUGAAUAAAUACUGGUAAUUGCUAAUUGCUUUCAGAAGAAAACUGACUCAUUGCCUGAGGAAUGACUUACACAUCAAUGUUUUUGUUCCUUUCCUCUGCAUUUCUGUAUUCAAACUGGAGGAAGUGUUGCAGUCAUCACAAAACUAAUGUUGAGAAGAUAAGUUGGUAUGGGGCGGAGCCAAGAUGGCGGAGAAGGCACACGCUACUUUCUAAGCUCUUCUAUCUAUAUUCUAAGCUCUCUAUCAAUAUUAUAUUGAGCCUUAAAAAUAGUCUUGACUGCUACAAUUCGUAAAGAUAAGAAGUAGAACAACUCACCAGCCGAAGAAAAUCUGCAGUCUCGCCAAAAAAGGUUGGUUCCGGGGCCAGGGG
Molecule: long non-coding RNA, 9124 nt
Organism: Sarcophilus harrisii (Tasmanian devil)
Lineage: Eukaryota; Metazoa; Chordata; Mammalia; Dasyuromorphia; Dasyuridae
Source: Ensembl